CUUUUACAAUGAAGAGUUUGAUCCUGGCUCAGGAUGAACGCUAGCUACAGGCUUAACACAUGCAAGUCGAGGGGCAGCAUUUCAGUUUGCUUGCAAACUGGAGAUGGCGACCGGCGCACGGGUGAGUAACACGUAUCCAACCUGCCGAUAACUCGGGGAUAGCCUUUCGAAAGAAAGAUUAAUACCCGAUGGUAUAAUUAGACCGCAUGGUCUUGUUAUUAAAGAAUUUCGGUUAUCGAUGGGGAUGCGUUCCAUUAGGCAGUUGGUGAGGUAACGGCUCACCAAACCUUCGAUGGAUAGGGGUUCUGAGAGGAAGGUCCCCCACAUUGGAACUGAGACACGGUCCAAACUCCUACGGGAGGCAGCAGUGAGGAAUAUUGGUCAAUGGGCGCAGGCCUGAACCAGCCAAGUAGCGUGAAGGAUGACUGCCCUAUGGGUUGUAAACUUCUUUUAUAUGGGAAUAAAGUUUUCCACGUGUGGAAUUUUGUAUGUACCAUAUGAAUAAGGAUCGGCUAACUC
This 519-nucleotide ribosomal RNA is filed under the name Bacteroides thetaiotaomicron. RNAcentral's name for it is "bacterial SSU rRNA". It matches the Rfam family "Bacterial small subunit ribosomal RNA", at positions 1 to 503 of the family's 1533-position model. Lineage: Bacteria; Pseudomonadati; Bacteroidota; Bacteroidia; Bacteroidales; Bacteroidaceae. The record is from RNAcentral.